This is a long non-coding RNA of Oreochromis aureus, 1282 nucleotides long. RefSeq lists it as uncharacterized. The record is from RefSeq and is a predicted model, not a curated record. The transcript has 2 exons. NCBI's taxonomy places the organism in Eukaryota, Metazoa, Chordata, Actinopteri, Cichliformes, Cichlidae.
CCCAGAUGGAAAAAACACAUUUACACCAAUGAUAAAGAAAGAGAGUGUUUAUUCUCUUUAUUUGAACUGUCCACAUCAACAGAACGUCAUAUUUCCUAUGACCAUUGAAUGCACCUCUCAGUUCACCCCACGUGACGGCACCUAGCUCAGCGACCAAUCAGAGCCUACGCAGGCCGCACUGACCCUGUCAGCCAGGAAGUGAGGUGAAGGUGCAUGGUGCUCCCGGGUUUUUCUCAUCUCAGCUAGAGGAGUGGAGGCAUCUGCUACUGAAACUGAGAAAUCCACGGACGAAAGAGAGGAAAAACUAAGAAUUGAGAGGAAGGAAAGCCAGCAUACUUACCUGCUGGAUGUCCGGAGUCGAGUAGCUGGAUGAAGGAGAGAAGCAGCGUCGGCUAACUACUCACUUUUCAUCCGGAGACCUGCUGCAGUUUCAACACCAGCGUGUGUUAGGCUUUUGUGAAACAGAGCAACGGUGAGCAACAUGUUCUUAGCUGCUCUAAAGCUAAUUGUUGUCAGUUCACUGUGAGUUUAAAGUAACAUGGAGGGUAAUUUUUAGUGCAUUUCUCUCUCACAAAUAGGCCUUUAGUGUGGAGAAAUUAAGCACACUGCUUUAAUACCUCUGAACUGAACUCACAUGUGUAUUUUAUUGCUUAUUUGCACAUAGUUCUGAAUUGUUAUGGUGUAUUGUAUUUUGAAUGUCAAUGGUUACUUACCAUAAGUAUUGUUUAAUUAAUGUUUACAUGAAUAGAGAAAUAUUUGAGCAACUUAGAUGUUUAGUUCUCAUAUUUGAUAUACUUGAAAAUUGAAUGUUGUACAACAGAACUGUGAGAUUUGAUAAGAUUUAAGAUGUUGAUGCAAUGAAUAUGAGGUUGAUGCAAUAUUUUGAUUUUACAUUUUAACCUUAAACAAUGCAUCUGAAAGAAAGUCUGAUUAGAAUGUACAUUUUAUGACCUGGAUUAUAGGUCAGGUUUUUGGAGAGGACAGAAAAGUCUGAGGACCAGGACAAAAUUCCGGUCGUGAUAGAUGGCGAGCCAACCACUUUGAGGACGAUCUACCCCAAAGAAGAUACACACCCACACACUCAUACAUUUCAAUUACACUCACAAGGACCUUUGAAGUUGGCUAUUGCCAACUUAACUCUAUAUCCUUAAAGGGCCCCAACGAGUACUUUCAUUUUCUUUAAGUGUGCACACUGUUUGUUUUGUUUUGUACUUUUUCCUGUACAGAUUGGACACUGUUUUUUUAUAUCUUGUAGCAAUACAAGAGUGGCUACUCAAACGUU